UACAGAGGGGGCAAGCGUUGUUCGGAAUUACUGGGCGUAAAGGGCGCGUAGGCGGCCUUCUACGUCGAACGUGAAAUCCCCGGGCUCAACCCGGGAACUGCGUCCGAUACUGGAAGGCUUGAAUUCGGGAGAGGGAUGCGGAAUUCCAGGUGUAGCGGUGAAAUGCGUAGAUAUCUGGAGGAACACCGGUGGCGAAGGCGGCAUCCUGGACCGGCAUUGACGCUGAGGCGCGAAAGCCAGGGGAGCAAACGGG
This 253-nucleotide ribosomal RNA is filed under the name uncultured bacterium. RNAcentral describes it as "partial 16S ribosomal RNA". It matches the Rfam family "Bacterial small subunit ribosomal RNA", at positions 524 to 776 of the family's 1533-position model. The record is from RNAcentral.